Long non-coding RNA from Gallus gallus (chicken), 646 nucleotides. Lineage: Eukaryota; Metazoa; Chordata; Aves; Galliformes; Phasianidae. The record is from Ensembl.
CUGUGGAUCUCUGGCUGUUAAAACACACUACAUGGAAACACUACUUCCUGUGAUUUGUAAACCAUGCUUCUUGUCUGAAACAUAAGAAAGGAGUAACUUGUAGAGGCAGCAGCAAGGACACAGGAUGGGAUUGAGGCUGCAAUGGUGGGGACUGGAUGUAUUGAUUUCCAACUGUAGUAUUUCACAUACAUGAAUUUAACCUCUUCAGGAAGCCUGACAGGCUGAAUCUCAUGCUCCUUGCCUAAACAACCACGAAAGGAGUUGGACCUCUUCUGUGAAAAGAAGUUUGCUUCAAAGAUUUCAUCAAAAACGAUUUUGAGUGCCGCAGUUCAUUGUAGUCACCACCUCUCAAGAAGACUGAAGAUAAACAACAAAACAUGGACAGUGUUUUGGGGGCUAACUUAUGUCUUUUCACAAAAGUCUCUGUCUGUAGAAAAAACACUCUUUUUUCUUGAGCGGUUUGUUUAGCAUUUCAGUCCCCUACUGUGAUUGCUGAAUUCAGUUACUACUGACUAGUGAGAUUUUAUUGCCAGUCAGUUCAUUUCAACCUGAAGAACACUGGCUUUGGCCUCUUGUUUUGUUUUGUUUUGUUUUUCCACUGUUUUUUGCCAAUGCAGCUGAAAUGAACAUGGCCACCUUUGUUUAG